Odocoileus virginianus texanus is the source of this 454-nucleotide non-coding RNA. NCBI's taxonomy places the organism in Eukaryota, Metazoa, Chordata, Mammalia, Artiodactyla, Cervidae. The record is from RefSeq and is a predicted model, not a curated record.
CACGGUACCCAAGUCCUGGGCUCAGACAAAGGCGUUGCUGUGGAGACCGGGCGUUGAGCCCGGUCCCCGAUAAGAGAUUGGAGGAGAGCCGAUCAGCUAAUGUUGACACUGAAACCCCAGGUGGAAGAAGUUAACUACAUCAUGACCAGACUUUACCCAUGACAUAAGCCACCAGAAUUCCAAGAACUGGAUGCCAGAAAUGGAAACAAACUAACCCUGGAGCUGAAUAUUAACUGUACUUAAAACUAUCGAGAUGACGCUGGUCAGACCACUGAUGACCAGUUUCAAGGUGACUGUCAGCUGAUAGUUCUGUUUCUGUAUGUAGCCCCCUCCCUCAGCCUCUAAAAGCUCUUGCCCACUGACUGUCAGUGGCAAGGGAGUUGGCCUUUGGACAGGUGUCCACUCUCCCUUUGGUUGCUGGCAUCCAAAAUAAAGGAAAUGCCCCUUUCCACCA